This 115-nucleotide ribosomal RNA is filed under the name Caerostris darwini. The record is from RNAcentral. Lineage: Eukaryota; Metazoa; Arthropoda; Arachnida; Araneae; Araneidae.
ACGGCCAUACCAUAACGGCUGAAUAUACCGGUUCUCGUUAGAUCACCGAAGUGAAGCAUCAUUGGGCGCGGUCAGUACUUGGGUGGGUGACCACCUGGGAGCACCGCAUGCCGUU